Molecule: ribosomal RNA, 242 nt
Filed under: uncultured Actinomycetales bacterium
Lineage: Bacteria; Bacillati; Actinomycetota; Actinomycetes; Actinomycetales
Description: partial 16S ribosomal RNA
Rfam family: Bacterial small subunit ribosomal RNA
Source: RNAcentral
UACUCGAGUGGCGAACGGGUGAGUAACACGUGGGUGAUCUGCCCUGCACUUCGGGAUAAGCCCGGGAAACUGGGUCUAAUACCGGAUAGGACGAUGGUUUGGAUGCCAUUGUGGAAAGUUUUUCGGUGUGGGAUGAGCUCGCGGCCUAUCAGCUUGUUGGUGGGGUAAUGGCCUACCAAGGCGUCGACGGGUAGCCGGCCUGAGAGGGUGUACGGCCACAUUGGGACUGAGAUACGGCCCAG